RNAcentral lists this unclassified non-coding RNA (195 nucleotides) under soil metagenome. RNAcentral's name for it is "partial contains 5.8S ribosomal RNA, internal transcribed spacer 2, and large subunit ribosomal RNA". The record is from RNAcentral.
AACUGAUACUACCUGCGGGAACCUGCGGAGGGAUCAUUACCGAGUUAUCCAACUCCCAACCCCUGUGAAUCAUACCUUUAAUUGUUGCUUCGGCGGGACUUCGCGCCCGCCGGGGACCCAAACCUUCUGAAUUUUUUAAUAAGUAUCUUCUGAGUGGUUAAAAAAAUGAAUCAAAACUUUCAACAAUGGAUCUCU